Molecule: long non-coding RNA, 538 nt
Organism: Vicia villosa (hairy vetch)
Lineage: Eukaryota; Viridiplantae; Streptophyta; Magnoliopsida; Fabales; Fabaceae
Exons: 3
Source: RefSeq, a predicted model, not a curated record
CUCUCUCUCUCUCUCUCUCUCUCUCUCUCUCUCUCUCUCUCUCUCUCUCUCUCUCUCUCUCUCAUUUUCAGAAGAUGUGAUUCCUCAGUGUCUUUCAUUUACUUUUGUUUCAGAAUAUUUCCUCUUAGCAAGAUGAAGAACGUGAAGCGGAUCUUAAUAAUGUUAGGGUUCAACAUGAACAUUUUGAAGACCCGUGUUUAGUAAAGGUUUUUGUGAUUGAUUUUGUUGAAGUAUUUGGAAUUCUCUACUUCAAGUGUUAUUUUUGGCUGAGUAAUUUUUAUUGAACUGCACCACGUGGUUGAGGAGGGUUACAAGGUUGCUUUAAAUGCUUAUGAUCUAAGUCAAGGACUUACUAGACAGCUGUCAGUGUCGUUUUUAAGGAAAGUUAUUGAAGGCAUAUGGCGGGUGCUUCUUUUUGUUCUUAGUAGAAAGCCUAAUGAUAACAGGUAGUAGUAUAUUAAUAAAAGGCUAGAAAAAAAGAAGAAUAUAUUGAAGUGUGAAAGUCUAGCAUUUUGUGGCUCUCAAUGUAGUGGGUAUA